CGGGUGUAGACGAGGCGGGCCCUGCGAGAGAAGUGCCGGGGAAGGGAGACGGCGUUCAGCUCUGAUCCUCCCCCUUGCCUCGCUCUGCCUGAUCUUGGACUGAAACACCGAAAGCAAAGAGACAGGUGGCAGCGGAACUCACACUUACUGAACAACUUAUCUUCUAUGUGUCAGAAACAGCUCUAGAUACUUGGUAUUUGCCUUCCAUUUCAUCUUCUCAACAACCACACAAAUGUGGGAAAUGCCAGCAGGAGGACACCUUCCUCAACAUGGGGCUUCCUGGAAGACUUCCUGGAGGAGGCAACAUACAAAUGGAGAUCCUUCUGCUGAAAGUUCAAUUUGUGCCACCUGAAGCCUUCCAAGCUACUCUAGUCCUCAGUAAUAACUUCAUACUUGGGCCUGUAUGGUUUGAAUCCUACUUUAGCACCAGAAUGUGAUGAUCUAAUUGUUUCCUAGUUGAUCUUGGCUACUCACCAAACAUGAUAUCAAGAAGAGUGAAUAUCACCCAAGGACUAUGCUUUCUGUUCUGGGGAAAAGAGGGAGAACCUCAAUUCAUCUCCAGUGGAGUGUGUGCGACCUGAAUCUGGGAAUAGCCAUGUUCUCAGGCAUCAUACAAGGGAACAAGCUGAGAAAAGGAAGCAGCCCAUAGAGAGAGGCGGAGACUAGAGGAGAAGGGAGACGUUCCUCGUGGUUCCUUCUGAGACAAGCUACAUCUUUGCCUUUCCUGCUAUUUUGUUACACAGACAAUCAAUUUCUCUUUUAUUCCAAAAAAUGAAAAGGAAAUUCGGUAGUG
RNAcentral lists this long non-coding RNA (793 nucleotides) under Equus asinus (donkey). Its description in RNAcentral is "lncRNA (ENSEASG00005034746.1)". The record is from RNAcentral. Lineage: Eukaryota; Metazoa; Chordata; Mammalia; Perissodactyla; Equidae.